This 253-nucleotide ribosomal RNA is filed under the name uncultured bacterium. Its description in RNAcentral is "partial 16S ribosomal RNA". It matches the Rfam family "Bacterial small subunit ribosomal RNA", at positions 524 to 776 of the family's 1533-position model. The record is from RNAcentral.
UACGUAGGUGGCAAGCGUUGUCCGGAUUUAUUGGGCGUAAAGGGUGCGUAGGCGGCGGAGUAAGUUGGGUGUGAAAUCCCGAGGCUCAACCUCGGAAUUGCAUUCAAUACUGCUUCGCUCGAGUACUGGAGAGGAGGCUGGAAUUUACGGUGUAGCAGUGAAAUGCGUAGAUAUCGUAAGGAAGGCCGGUGGCGAAAGCGAGCCUCUGGACAGUUACUGACGCUGAUGCACGAAGGCCAGGGGAGCAAACGGG